Non-coding RNA from Petromyzon marinus (sea lamprey), 3401 nucleotides. Lineage: Eukaryota; Metazoa; Chordata; Hyperoartia; Petromyzontiformes; Petromyzontidae. The record is from RefSeq and is a predicted model, not a curated record.
UCUAAACGCAUGUUUCUAAAUGUGGAACUUCUUUCGGACCGUACCUAGCCAGCCGUGUUAAUCGGAGUAGUUGAGUGAUAUCCAAACCGGUCUUCGCAAACCCCCCUCCCCAACUCCUUUCAUCAAUCAGCACUGAUGAGCGUGGUGAAGUGCGGUUUAACAAUCGCCAUGAUGAUAUAGCGUGGGGGGGGGGGCCUUCAUCCAGCAGUGUAUUGACACAAGGAUGUAAUUACAUUUUGUCAUGGGAUAAAUAGAAGGCCUCUGUAGUGUGUGAUGCAAAGCUAAUUUAAUUCUGAUUUAAAGCUUUCGUGACUGCAGGGAUUCGUAUUCUUGGUUCUUUCGGUAAAGUCACGUAGAAGGGAAACAAUAAAAUAAUAAAACAAAUAUAUAAAACAAUAAAAUUAUAAUUUAAUUCGUGAACAAAAGCGUGUUAAAUAAGUUUGGAUGCUCGUAUUAACAAUAGUGGCAGGAGAAUAUGCAUUGGUUUUGGAGUGAAGUCCGAUGGAAAUUAAUUUGACAUAAUUGCAAGCCUGUUUACCAUGUGCGUUAUGGCUUAGAACACUCCCUGUGCAAAUAUUUAAUAUAUUUAGUAUUCAUUUCCUAUUUUUUCAAGUGACAAAAUGUAUUAUUUGGAAAAAUGUUAUUAAAACAUGAUGGGCGUAUAAAAUGUACAUCUUAUGAAUGCUCACGAUGUUCCUAUCAUUAAACGUAAGCGCAUACACUCACAUUAAUGCACACACUCUCAUAUUAACCUUACACACUUGUGCCUCGUGCAACAUCCCAUGGUGCACGUACACACCAGCCAUCGUACGUGCUGUGGAGGCCCAGUGCUGCUCCGUAUUAUUUGCAGCAGCUGAUAAACAGAUGCUUGUUGGUAGAGGUUUUUUGAGAAGUAGGCACGCAAAGGUGUGUUCUGCACGGCGAAAGGCAUGAUUGUGAAUGUUGGAUUGGUCUUCCCGUCAUGCCUUGCACGUCAAGUAGCGUCACGGAGGCUGCAUGCAUAAUGCACAAAAGUCUCGGUUUAGACCACCAACUCAAUACGGUUGAAAUGUGUGACCUUAUUAUUUUAGUAGGAUAAUGAGAAGUCUCUUUCAAGCAGCAAAACAGUUUGUAGUGUGAUAAGUUGUGACAAUGAAUUGUGGGUUUUCGAUUAAAUUGUUAUUAGGUUGUUGAGAAGUAAGGCAUUUUGCACCUGUUGGUAAAUUAAUCAUGCAUAUCGACAUUUUCAUCUGGUGUCGGAAUCAAUAAAUCAGACGUAUAAAAGUGGUGAUCUAGACGACUUAAAUCGAUUUUUGUUUGUAUGAUGCUGGCUCCCAAGCCCAAGGAAUAAACGUGGCAGUUAUUACACGUGACAAUUAUUUUGAAAGGAAUUGCAGAUGUUUAUAUACAAUGACACGCAUGAUUACAGGAAUGUGUGUAUUUUAUACACUCCACAUCGGUAUGUUGUGUCAAAUAUUACAUUCGGUUAGGUGUCGGUCUCGGGAGCCUGCUCGGCAAAGCGGUGUCAUUUUUUAGUCAACAUCUCUCGGUCUUGGCUUGACACCUGAUUCGCCACGGUUAAUUCGGAACCUCAAUGCAACUCUUGUGUGGAAAGGGACCCGCGCAGGGUACACAGAAAAGCCACUGGGGCCAUUUUUUCCCUUUCGAGAUUGUAAGCUUGCUGAAUCUGAAACCAAGCACAGUUAAAACCACGCUCUCUAUAAAGGCACAACGUCAAAGGGGGGUGGGGGGGGCUUCAUGGUACGAGAAUAAGAGAAGCCUUGUCUUCGGUAGAGGCGAGCUGGCAAUGGGUAAUCCGUGUGACCAGGCAGUGGAGUCCAGAGGGGAAUUCUCACAUUUCACGUCCCCGCCCACCCUACCUGAGCUGGUGUUAGUGAUGCCGAAUUAGAGUUGUGCUCUGGGCUACCAAACUCUUGCCUGUUUUAUAAGACUUGUCGAGUGUGUGGGCAGCUGAUAUGCUUGGCAAGCUACAUUUGCAAGCAGCUGCUUGCCUAUCUGUCUUCACUUUUCAUGUGCAAGUCGUCAUUUUUUUAUUUAAAAUUUUAAUCAACUGUGAAAACCCCCUUUAGGAAAAUGAAUAUUUUUAUUUGUAAAUGACAAGUUUAGAAGUUGUAAAGAAAUAUCGUUAAUAUAUAUUAAGGCAAUACAACUGCUUGCACUACCAGGGGCGGAGCCAGGGGGGGUGACAGGGGUGACAUUCUGCGUAUAAGUGUACGACACUCGGUCUGGCGGACUCCGUACAACUGCACUUUCAGAGUGUGUCGCCACCCGAUGGCGUCUAGUUCAACAGCCUGACUCUCUAAUCAUUCUUGAAAUUAAAAUUUGUUGAAUGUCACCCCGGCCUGAAAUCCUGGCUCCGCCCCUGUGCACUACCAUAUACAGACCACCCCCUGUUAACAACUAAUCGCUUAACGAUGGGCCUCCGUAGAGCCCAAUGUCUCGUGUGUAGUGUGUAUUGUAGAGUAGUGCAGUGUAGAUUAGAGCAGUGUAGGGUAGAGUAGUGUGGUGUGGAGUGGUGCGGUGCUGAGCUGUGCGGAGCAGUGCGGUGCGGAGCAGUGUAGUGCAGUGUAUAAUAGAACCCCUCUUAACGACCACCCCUGUUAACGAAUGGCUGUUGUAGGUACAGCAAAUAUUAAUGCAUUGAUUAACCGUGUUUCUUUUAAUAUUAUGUGUUUAUAAUGUUAGUAUCUUUAUGUAUUCAUAUCCAUUGUUUAAAUAUUAUAAAGUAGUCUUUUGGGUGAAAAAUUGAUAACUUUCGAUGCUUAUCAGUCCGAAUUAAGCCUUUGACGUGUAUUUCCUAAACUCGCUUAACGAGCAAAUCACUUAACGGACGGUUUAGUGGAACCAAUUGCUGUCGUGUCGUUAAGAGGGGUUUUACUGUAUUUCAUGCCCAGCGCCGUGUUUUCACCGUCUUGAGUCCGUGAGGGUUAGAUGUGAGAGCGUGGGGGGGGUGGAGUUGUAGGCUCGGCAGUGCAUCGCCUUUCUCAGCCUAGCAAGGGCGCUCUGGUCACGCGAGCCAUGCCGAUUUUACGUGGACGCACUUUGAGCCUCGUCUCGCUGAAGUUGUCACGCGUCGCGCUGACCUUCGCUACUCUGCUGCUGUGCGUGUGCCUGGCGGGCGAGCGAGUGAGCCCUUUACCUGCUGUUGAGAAGCUUGGAGAUGUUUAUUUUUCUUAUAUAAUAUAUACAUCUUGUGCUUUUGUGUGCGUUUUUUCUGAAGAAUGGGACAAGGUUCGCUUUGCGUUGCAGUGCUCUUAAUAUUCAGGAAUUUUUCACAUUCUCAACUUUGUUUUGUUCGUUUAUCAUCACAUGUUACAUAUAUCAAAGCCUGCUCCAUGCCACGAAUAUUGCAAGGCAAUAGCGAGCUAUUAGACUCGCGAGGGGAUGACGGACACUCUCGC